Molecule: ribosomal RNA, 439 nt
Filed under: uncultured bacterium
Lineage: Bacteria
Description: partial 16S ribosomal RNA
Rfam family: Bacterial small subunit ribosomal RNA
Source: RNAcentral
AACGAACGCUGGCGGCAUGCCUAACACAUGCAAGUCGAACGAGACCUUCGGGUCUAGUGGCGCACGGGUGCGUAACGCGUGGGAACCUGCCUUUAGGUUCGGAAUAACUCAGAGAAAUUUGAGCUAAUACCGGAUGAUGUCUUCGGACCAAAGAUUUAUCGCCUUUAGGUGGGCCCGCGUUGGAUUAGCUUGUUGGUGGGGUAAAGGCCUACCAAGGCGACGAUCCAUAGCUGGUCUGAGAGGAUGAUCAGCCACACUGGGACUGAGACACGGACCAGACUCCUACGCGAGGCAGCGGUGGGGAAGGUUGAAAAAGGGGGGCGGGCCGGAGGCAGCGCCGGCGCGUGCGGGAGGACGGUCAUCGGGUUGUAAACGUCAUUCGCCAGGGACGAAGCGUUUUGUGACGGUACCUGGAGAAUAAGCACCGGCUAACUCCGUG